Molecule: ribosomal RNA, 506 nt
Filed under: uncultured bacterium
Lineage: Bacteria
Description: partial 16S ribosomal RNA
Rfam family: Bacterial small subunit ribosomal RNA
Source: RNAcentral
AUUGAACGCUGGCGGCAGGCCUAACACAUGCAAGUCGGACGGUAGCACAGAGGAGCUUGCUCCUUGAGUGACGAGUGGCGGACGGGUGAGUAAUGCUUGGGGAUCUGCCCGAUAGAGGGGGAUAACUACUGGAAACGGUGGCUAAUACCGCAUAACGAUGCAAGACCAAAGAGGGGGAGCUUCGGGCCUAUCAAUCUCGGAUGAACCCAGAUGGGAUUAGCUAGUAGGCGGGGUAAUGGCCCACCUAGGCGACGGUCCCUAGCUGGUCUGAGAGGAUUACCAGCCACACUGGAACUGAGACACGGUCCAGACUCCUACGGGAGGCAGCAGUGGGGAAUAUUGCACAAUGGGCGCAAGCCUGAUGCAGCCAGGCCGCGUGUAUGAAGAAGGCCUUCGGGUUGUAAAGUACUUUCAGCGGGGAGGAAGGCGGUGAGGUUAAUAACCUUGCCGAUUGACGUUACCCGCAGAAGAAGCACCGGCUAACUCCGUGCCAGCCGCCGCAGUAA